This is a non-coding RNA of Penaeus vannamei (Pacific white shrimp), 381 nucleotides long. The record is from RefSeq and is a predicted model, not a curated record. Lineage: Eukaryota; Metazoa; Arthropoda; Malacostraca; Decapoda; Penaeidae.
UUGAAAGUAACGAUACUACUUCUGGUAAUAAUUUCAAUAACAGGAUUUAUGCAACUGAUGAUGACAAUAAUGACGUAAAAGUUAUAAAUACUAAGGCAAUGGUAGUACUAGUAUUACCACUACUACUACUAACAUUAACAGCGUCUUCCACGGCCACCGCAUUCCCAUUACCUGGCGCAGAUUUCUCCCAUCUUCAGGACAGAAUAUAUGGGAGCAGAAGGUGACCCACGCCACGGAGUCAAGCGGACGGCGACAUCGACGGAAGUUACACAACAGGAGCUCGUUGUCAACCAUGAUGAGUGAGGCGAUAUUCAAAGAGUAAUGCAGAUUCAAUAAUGUUGAGACCUGUUUUAUCCCAAUCUUGUCAAUGGUUACUCUGGG